UACAGAGGGGGCAAGCGUUAUUCGGGAUUAUUGGGCGUAAAGGGCGCGUAGGCGGCCUGGCAAGUGGAAGGUGAAAUCCCUCGGCUUAACCGAGGAACUGCCCUCCAAACUGCUUGGCUUGAGUCCGGGAGAGGUGAGUGGAAUUCCCAGUGUAGCGGUGAAAUGCGUAGAUAUUGGGAGGAACACCAGUGGCGAAGGCGGCUCACUGGACCGGAACUGACGCUGAGGCGCGAAAGCGUGGGGAGCAAACGGG
Molecule: ribosomal RNA, 253 nt
Filed under: uncultured bacterium
Lineage: Bacteria
Description: partial 16S ribosomal RNA
Rfam family: Bacterial small subunit ribosomal RNA
Source: RNAcentral